RNAcentral lists this ribosomal RNA (459 nucleotides) under uncultured bacterium. RNAcentral describes it as "partial 16S ribosomal RNA". It matches the Rfam family "Bacterial small subunit ribosomal RNA", at positions 338 to 795 of the family's 1533-position model. The record is from RNAcentral.
CCUACGGGAGGCAGCAGUGAGGAAUCUUGGUCAAUGGGAGAGAUCCUGAACCAGCCAAGCCGCGUGAGGGAAGACGGCUCUAUGGGUUGUAAACCUCUUUUGUCGGAGAACAAAACCCGGGACGUGUCCCGGACUGCGUGUAUCCGAAGAAAAAGCAUCGGCUAACUCCGUGCCAUCAGCGGCGGUAAUACGGGGGAUGCGAGCGUUAUCCGGAUUGAUUGGGGUUAAUGGGUGCGUAGGCGGUCCGUUAAGUCAGCGGUAAAGUUGCGGGGCUAAACCGCGACGAGCCGUUGAAACUGGCAGACUUGAGUUGGCGAGAGGUACGCGGAAUGCGCGGUGUAGCGGUGAAAUGCAUAGAUAUCGCGAAGAACUCCGAUUGCGAAGGCAGCGUACUGGCGCCAGACUGACGCUGAGGCACGAAAGCGUGGGGAUCGAACAGGAUUAGAUACCCUUGUAGUC